AAUAGAUACCCUGGUAGUCCACGCCGUAAACGGUGGGCACUAGGUGUGGGCCGCUUUGUGUGGUCUGUGCCGUAGCUAACGCAUUAAGUGCCCCGCCUGGGGAGUACGGCCGCAAGGCUAAAACUCAAAGGAAUUGACGGGGGCCCGCACAAGCGGUGGAGCAUGUAGUUUAAUUCGAAGCAACGCGAAGAACCUUACCAGGUCUUGACAUCCCACUGACCGGUAUAGAGAUAUACCUUUCCCUUCGGGGACAGUGGUGACAGGUGGUGCAUGGUUGUCGUCAGCUCGUGUCGUGAGAUGUUGGGUUAAGUCCCGCAACGAGCGCAACCCUUGAUCUUAGUUGCCAGCAUUUAGUUGGGCACUCUAAGGUGACUGCCGGUGACAAACCGGAGGAAGGUGGGGAUGACGUCAAAUCAUCAUGCCCCUUAUGACCUGGGCUACACACGUGCUACAAUGGAUGGUACAAAGGGCUGCAAGACUGCGAAGUCAAGCCAAUCCCAUAAAACCAUUCUCAGUUCGGAUUGCAGG
Molecule: ribosomal RNA, 528 nt
Filed under: uncultured bacterium
Lineage: Bacteria
Description: bacterial SSU rRNA
Rfam family: Bacterial small subunit ribosomal RNA
Source: RNAcentral